GACGAACGCUGGCGGCGUGCCUAAUACAUGCAAGUCGAACGCAGUGGGGACGGGUGAGUAACACGUGGGUAACCUCCCAUCAGAGGGGAGAACACUUGGAAACAGGUGCUAAAUCGAUAAUGAUGGAUGGACCCGCGGUGCCUUAGCUAGUUGGUGAGGUAACGGCUCACCAAGGCCACGAUGCAUAGCCGACCUGAGAGGAUGAUCGGCCACACUGGGACUGAGACACGGCCCAGCCUCCUACGGGAGGCAGCAGUAGGGAAUCUUCGGCAAUGGACGAAAGUCUGACCGAGCAACGCAGCGUGAGUGAAGAAGGUUUGCGGAUCGUAAACCUCUUUUGUUAGAGAAGCGGUAUCUAACCAGAAAGCCACGGCUAACUCCGUGCCAGCAGCCGCGGUAAUUC
This 403-nucleotide ribosomal RNA is filed under the name uncultured bacterium. RNAcentral describes it as "partial 16S ribosomal RNA". It matches the Rfam family "Bacterial small subunit ribosomal RNA", at positions 28 to 526 of the family's 1533-position model. The record is from RNAcentral.